RNAcentral lists this ribosomal RNA (1377 nucleotides) under uncultured bacterium. Its description in RNAcentral is "16S ribosomal RNA". It matches the Rfam family "Bacterial small subunit ribosomal RNA", at positions 18 to 1390 of the family's 1533-position model. The record is from RNAcentral.
CCUGGCUCAGGAUGAACGCUAGCUACAGGCUUAACACAUGCAAGUCGAGGGGCAGCAUGGUCUUAGCUUGCUAAGGCCGAUGGCGACCGGCGCACGGGUGAGUAACACGUAUCCAACCUGCCGUCUACUCUUGGACAGCCUUCUGAAAGGAAGAUUAAUACAAGAUGGCAUCAUGAGUCCGCAUGUUCACAUGAUUAAAGGUAUUCCGGUAGACGAUGGGGAUGCGUUCCAUUAGAUAGUAGGCGGGGUAACGGCCCACCUAGUCUUCGAUGGAUAGGGGUUCUGAGAGGAAGGUCCCCCACAUUGGAACUGAGACACGGUCCAAACUCCUACGGGAGGCAGCAGUGAGGAAUAUUGGUCAAUGGGCGAGAGCCUGAACCAGCCAAGUAGCGUGAAGGAUGACUGCCCUAUGGGUUGUAAACUUCUUUUAUAAAGGAAUAAAGUCGGGUAUGGAUACCCGUUUGCAUGUACUUUAUGAAUAAGGAUCGGCUAACUCCGUGCCAGCAGCCGCGGUAAUACGGAGGAUCCGAGCGUUAUCCGGAUUUAUUGGGUUUAAAGGGAGCGUAGAUGGAUGUUUAAGUCAGUUGUGAAAGUUUGCGGCUCAACCGUAAAAUUGCAGUUGAUACUGGAUAUCUUGAGUGCAGUUGAGGCAGGCGGAAUUCGUGGUGUAGCGGUGAAAUGCUUAGAUAUCACGAAGAACUCCGAUUGCGAAGGCAGCCUGCUAAGCUGCAACUGACAUUGAGGCUCGAAAGUGUGGGUAUCAAACAGGAUUAGAUACCCUGGUAGUCCACACGGUAAACGAUGAAUACUCGCUGUUUGCGAUAUACGGCAAGCGGCCAAGCGAAAGCGUUAAGUAUUCCACCUGGGGAGUACGCCGGCAACGGUGAAACUCAAAGGAAUUGACGGGGGCCCGCACAAGCGGAGGAACAUGUGGUUUAAUUCGAUGAUACGCGAGGAACCUUACCCGGGCUUAAAUUGCAGAUGAAUUACGGUGAAAGCCGUAAGCCGCAAGGCAUCUGUGAAGGUGCUGCAUGGUUGUCGUCAGCUCGUGCCGUGAGGUGUCGGCUUAAGUGCCAUAACGAGCGCAACCCUUGUUGUCAGUUACUAACAGGUUCCGCUGAGGACUCUGACAAGACUGCCAUCGUAAGAUGUGAGGAAGGUGGGGAUGACGUCAAAUCAGCACGGCCCUUACGUCCGGGGCUACACACGUGUUACAAUGGGGGGUACAGAGGGCCGCUACCACGCGAGUGGAUGCCAAUCCCCAAAACCUCUCUCAGUUCGGACUGGAGUCUGCAACCCGACUCCACGAAGCUGGAUUCGCUAGUAAUCGCGCAUCAGCCACGGCGCGGUGAAUACGUUCCCGGGCCUUGUACACAC